GACGGAGGAUGCAAGCGUUAUCCGGAAUGAUUGGGCGUAAAGCGUCCGCAGGUGGCAGUUCAAGUCUGCUGUCAAAGACCGGGGCUUAACUUCGGAAGGCAGUGGAAACUGAACAGCUAGAGUAUGGUAGGGGCAGAGGGAAUUCCUGGUGUAGCGGUGAAAUGCGUAGAGAUCCGGAGGAACACCAGCGGCGAAGGCGGCGUCCUGGACUGGUACGUGACGCUCAGGAGCGAAAGCGUGGGGAGCGAGUCCGG
This 254-nucleotide ribosomal RNA is filed under the name uncultured bacterium. RNAcentral describes it as "partial 16S ribosomal RNA". It matches the Rfam family "Bacterial small subunit ribosomal RNA", at positions 524 to 777 of the family's 1533-position model. The record is from RNAcentral.